GAUUUCUGGUCUGGUGCGCCUGGCCCGCCGCAUCAGCGUGUGAGUGCCGGGUCGCGCCUGCCAUCCUUCUAGAAAACGUAUCUACCCUUCACUGGGCCGGAUACGCGAUCUAGAUCUUUUACUUUGAAAAAAUUAGAGUGUUUAAAGCAGGCAUUUGCUAUGAAUACAUUAGCAUGGAAUAAUAAUUUAGGACUUCGGUUCUAUUUUGUUGGUUUCUAGGACUGAAGUAAUGAUUGAUAGGGAUAGUUGGGGGUGCUAGUAUUCAGCGGCCAGAGGUGAAAUUCUCGGAUUCGCUGAAGACUAACUUAUGCGAAAGCAUU
This 320-nucleotide ribosomal RNA is filed under the name uncultured Bodomorpha. RNAcentral's name for it is "SSU rRNA". The stretch from base 104 to 320 matches the Rfam family "Eukaryotic small subunit ribosomal RNA", at positions 737 to 955 of the family's 1831-position model. The record is from RNAcentral. Lineage: Eukaryota; Cercozoa; Glissomonadida.